RNAcentral lists this ribosomal RNA (660 nucleotides) under uncultured bacterium. RNAcentral describes it as "bacterial SSU rRNA". It matches the Rfam family "Bacterial small subunit ribosomal RNA", at positions 1 to 652 of the family's 1533-position model. The record is from RNAcentral.
CCCUUAGAGUUUGAUCCUGGCUCAGAUUGAACGCUGGCGGCAUGCCUAACACAUGCAAGUCGAACGGCAGCACGUUCUAGUUUACUAGAAGGGUGGCGAGUGGCGAACGGGUGAGUAACGCGUAGGAAUAUGCCUUGUAGAGGGGGAUAACUUGGGGAAACUCAGGCUAAUACCGCAUAAUAUCUGAGGAUGAAAGCUGGGGACCUUCGGGCCUGGCGCUAUAAGAGUAGCCUGCGUACGAUUAGCUAGUUGGUAGGGUAAGGGCCUACCAAGGCGACGAUCGUUAGCUGGUCUGAGAGGAUGAUCAGCCACACUGGAACUGAGACACGGUCCAGACUCCUACGGGAGGCAGCAGUGGGGAAUAUUGGACAAUGGGGGCAACCCUGAUCCAGCAAUGCCGCGUGUGUGAAGAAGGCCUGAGGGUUGUAAAGCACUUUCAGUGGGGAGGAGGAUUGCUAGGUUAAGAGCUAAGUAAUUGGACGUUACCCACAGAAGAAGCACCGGCUAACUCCGUGCCAGCAGCCGCGGUAAUACGGAGGGUGCGAGCGUUAAUCGGAAUUACUGGGCGUAAAGGGUGCGUAGGUUGUUUUUUAAGUUAUCUGUGAAAUCCCUGGGCUUAACCUGGGCAUGUCAGAUAAGACUGGAAGACUCGAGUAUGGG